RNAcentral lists this long non-coding RNA (1099 nucleotides) under Homo sapiens (human). RNAcentral's name for it is "HSALNT0082586". Lineage: Eukaryota; Metazoa; Chordata; Mammalia; Primates; Hominidae. The record is from RNAcentral.
CCAGUCUACUGCCUCAGCCUCCAGAGUAGCUGGGACUACAGGCGCCUGCCACCAUGCCCGGCUAAUUUUUUGUAUUUUUUUUUUUAAUAGCGAUGGCGUUUCACCGCCAGGAUGGUCUCGAUCUCCUGACCUCGUGAUCUGCCUGCCUCAGCCUCCCAAAGUGCUGGGAUUACAGGCGUGAGCCCAGCGCCAGAGAGUAGCACUUUCAAGAGAGCAUCAGCUGCUGGAGGAUGGGGAGGAUCAGGCGGUGGGCAGGGCCAUGGAGCUCCCAAGAGAUUAUGUCCUUUGUCUUCAGCUACCAGGGCUGGUAGGAAAAGAUGAUCAGGUGGGGCAGGGUUCAGCGUGUGUCUGUGCUAAGACUGUCCUUAAGCAGGGCUUGCUGCUGCUGUUCUGGGGGAUGGGGUGUGGUUCCCAGGCCAAUGGAGUUAUGUUCCCAGGGAGAGUAUGGCUGUUUCUGUUGCAUCACACAUGUCGCCAGGGAAGUGGGGGAAAGCCGGCAGCCCCAGGCCUCACCCAGCUCCCACGCAUCCGGUAGCCUGAAGGGCCAGUCUCACUUCCACCAUGUCCCCGCAACAGCACGGAGUGUAUUUUCAGGCAGCCGGUGAGUAGGGCUACAAGCCUCCAGCUGAGAAAGCAAAGCCAACUCACAGUUCCUUGGCUGUCCCGCGGAGCCUGCGGUGGCAAACCACCUCCUUCAGAAGGGUCUGUGGAUUCUCCUGGCUUUUCUGUCCUUGCCGGAGUCCCACUGCUCCCGAACACAUGCCCUGAGGCAGCGUGCCUGCACAACCAGCUUCCAUCUGAACGCUUCAGACAUGCGCUGCAUUCAGGAACAAAAGAAGAAUUUGUAGUUCACAGCCACAUGAGAUAGUCAAGUGUUAAAAGGGAAAAAGAGCUAUCGAAGGCAGGAAGCAAAAUGCCUUCAGAGAUAAAAGGUUAUUCGUGGCUGAGUGAAAAAAAUGGACAAUGAGCAGAAAAUAAUUUAUACUACAAAGUCUUUAGACGUCAUUUACUUGGUAAGACAUUAUAGAAAUAUUUUUGGCCGUUUUGUUUGCUUUAAAAUCCACUUAACUACAAAGUGACUUCACAGUUUAAAAAUGAC